This 497-nucleotide ribosomal RNA is filed under the name uncultured bacterium. RNAcentral describes it as "partial 16S ribosomal RNA". It matches the Rfam family "Bacterial small subunit ribosomal RNA", at positions 28 to 507 of the family's 1533-position model. The record is from RNAcentral.
GAUGAACGCUGGCGGCGUGCCUAAUACAUGCAAGUCGAGCGAACGGACGAGAAGCUUGCUUCUCUGAUGUUAGCGGCGGACGGGUGAGUAACACGUGGAUAACCUACCUAUAAGACUGGGAUAACUUCGGGAAACCGGAGCUAAUACCGGAUGAUAUUUUGAACCGCAUGGUUCAAAAGUGAAAGACGGUCUUGCUGUCACUUAUAGAUGGAUCCGCGCUGCAUUAGCUAGUUGGUAAGGUAACGGCUUACCAAGGCAACGAUGCAUGGCCGACCUGAGAGGGUGAUCGGCCACACUGGAACUGAGACACGGUCCAGACUCCUACGGGAGGCAGCAGUAGGGAAUCUUCCGCAAUGGGCGAAAGCCUGACGGAGCAACGCCGCGUGAGUGAUGAAGGUCUUCGGAUCGUAAAACUCUGUUAUUCGGGAAGAACAUAUGUGUAAGUAACUGUGCACAUCUUGACGGUACCUAAUCAGAAAGCCACGGCUAACUACGUG